CUCGUGAACCAAAUAUGGUCGGCUGGGUUGUCUUUGCGGAAACGCUUAGGUGACUUGUCUACGAAUUGUAAUCAUAAUAUGCGCGACGGUGAAUCCUUUGCAGACGACUUGAAUGGGAACGGGGUACUGUAAGUGGUAGAGUAGCCUUGUUGCUACGAUCCACUGAGGUUAAGCCCUUGUUCUAAAGAUUUGUUCAACUUUGUUGGAC
Molecule: ribosomal RNA, 208 nt
Filed under: Armillaria mellea
Lineage: Eukaryota; Fungi; Basidiomycota; Agaricomycetes; Agaricales; Physalacriaceae
Description: partial 26S ribosomal RNA
Rfam family: Eukaryotic large subunit ribosomal RNA
Source: RNAcentral